AACAGAUUUAGAGCACAAAUAUUAUUAAAAAAAAUGAGAAAAGCAUGACAUUGUGCAGUACAAAAAUAAUGUUUUCAUAAUAUCGAGAGUAAAUAGAACCUUAGUUUUCAUAACUGUUUAUUAAUGUUUAAAUCAUAAAAAAGAUAUGCUAUAAAUAUUGUACUACAAUCUGUUGUGUGUAAAUAUCUUUUUUUAGAAUUAGUAAACACACGAGACUUACAAGGUGUAGAUGUUCAAUUAUAGAUAUUCCUUAAGAAGUUCAACAAAGCUUUCAUGGGCAUAUUUCAUCAUAAAAUGGAUUCUAAAUAAAUUACAACAAAUAGACAUACGACAGACAUAUCGCUAACGUAAAAAGGUAGGUAUUCUAUUUGUUUGUCUUUUAAACAGCUUAAGAAUGAAUGUAACGUGUGUGCUCUUUCAGAUGUUUCAUAAUUAGAUAUAGGAAGAUGUGGUAUGAGUGCCGAUGAGACAUAUAAAGGCAACAGUAGUAUACCGCUGUUCAAAAUUCAUAAUUCGAUAGAGAAAAAACUAAUCCAGGUUACAAACUAAAACUGAGGGAAACAUAUCAAAUAUAAGAGAACUACGACACAACAGAGUCACAACACCGAAAUGUAACACACACAAAAACGAACUAUAAUGUAACAAUGGCCAUUUUCCUGACUUGGUACAGGGCAUUUUAUGAAAAAAUGGUGGGUUGGACCUGGUUUUGUGGCAUGUCAAACCUCCCGCUUUAAUGGCAGUGUUAAUUAUAACAUUAAAAUGACAACAUUACACGACAGGGUUACAAUAAAGAAACAGAUAAAUGGGAGAAAAUAAAGGACAGCGAAACAAACGAAUAAUAGCCAUCAAAGGUAACAGGUUAAAGAAUAUUUUUAUAUGCCAGACGCGCGCUACGUCCACACAAAACUAUGCUCUGAUGUAAAAAGUUUGAAAGCCAUAACUACAAAGUUUAAGAUCACCAAGGACCAAAAGUUCCAAAAUGUUGUGAGGCCAGGGCUAUCCGCCUGGGACAAAAACAACAUUAUUAUCAAGAAUUAUACAUAGUUUUGCAAACAGUUAAUUUUAUAAAAUGACUAUAUAAUAGAUAUCCAUGAUUAAACUGAAGUGGUGACUAGCUAUAGAAUAAAAACGAAUACAUUACAAACACACCCUGUUAGCCAUAGUCAAUGCAACGCCCAAAGUGACGCCGCAUUUAAAUUUCUAAAACGUGUUCCAAAAAUUAACAAAGAAUUUGGAUGAAAUUCAAGAUUAGAUUUUUAUGACUGAUCUCACUUAUAUUAAUAACAGUGAAAAUUAUAAUACUAAUUAAUAUUUAAUUGUAGUAGUACUUAGAUAAUUAAUUGUAUUAUCUAGCUUUGUGGGUGUUUCUUCUGAUCAAACUGCAAACCAAAUAUAUAGUGUAAAUUUCGUUGAUCCAAAAUUAAAUCUAACAAAUGAACUGGAUGAGUAGUUAUCCCCAACACAACACAAGAAUACAACAGAAAAAAAAAUACGAUUUACAACUACAAACGUUAAGACUGAGAAAUGGGAAAUUGAUAAUUGGGAAGUUGAAAUCGUCCCGUUUAUCAUAGAUUUUCGUGUGAAGUCGUACAUCUGUGUCAAUAUUGAGGAAAAGAUCAAGGUAUAAAGCAGUCCUUCUAGUAUCAGUAGUAUCCUUGAUUUCAAGUUCACUGGGAUAUAUGAGAUGCAAGUAUUGGCUGAAAUAUGGAUUAUUCAUUGAUAGGACAUCAUCAAUAUAUCGGAAAGCUAAAUUAAAGAAUUUCGCAAGGUGCUUUUUCUGUUUGUCUUUUAGAAGGGUUGAAUAAAUUCUGCUUCAUACGAGUACAAAAACAAAUCGGCUAGUAGGGGUGCACAAUUAUUUCCCAUUGGAAUACCGAUUGUCUGUUGAAAUAGGAAUCCUCCAAACUCAACAAAUAUAUUGUCGAUCAAAAAGUCCAGCAUUUUGAUAAUAUCAUCUUCAGUAUACUUGAAAUCACUGAAGAGACAUGUAAUGUCGAAAUACGCAUCAGGUGCAAGAAAAUUGGUAGCGUUAAUUCUAUUACUACCACUGGGUCGAUACCUCUGCUGGUGGACUAUUAGUCCCCGAGGGUAUCACCAGCCCAGUAGCCAGUACUUCGGUACUGCAUGAAAAUACGGAUUUUUUGUGUUAUUAAAAUUUGCUGUUACAAAAUGAUAUAAAUUAUUAUAAAUUAAGGAAUGUAUCUCCCUCAUGCAAAGCUCUGAUUCCUUUCACGGAUUCGGCUAUACUUUUUUGGACCUUUUAGAUUAUAGCUCUUCACCUUUAUAUAAGCUUUGGAUUUCAAAUAUUUUGGCCACUAGCAUCACUGAAGAGACAUGUAUUGUCGAAAUGCGCAUCUGGUGCAAGAAAAUUGGUACCGUUAAUUUUAUUACUACCACUGGGUCGAUACCUCUGCUGGUGGACUAUUAGUCCCCGAGGGUAUCACCAGCCCAGUAGCCAGUACUUCGGUACUGGCAUGAAAAUACGGAUUUUUUGUGUUAUUAAAAUUUGCUGUAACAAAAUGAUAUAAAUUAUUAUAAAUUAAGGAAUGUAUCUCCAUCAUGCAAAGCUCUGAUUCCUUUCACGGAUUUGGCUAUACUUUUUUGGACCUUUUGGAUUAUAGCUCUUCAACUUUUAUAUCAGCUUUGGAUUUCAAAUUAUAUGGCCACGAGCAUCACUGAAGAGACGUGUAUUGUCGAAAUGCGCAUCUGGUGCAAGAAAAUUGGUACCGUUAAUUUUAUUAUUCUGGUAGAUUCAGUGUGGUUCUUUACAAAAUAUGAAUUAUUGUAAUCCAAAACAAGAAAUUUGUAUCUAUGAUUCCAUUUUUAUAGAAAUAGCUCUGUUUAAUGAGAGUGUGGAGUCGAUAUUUCAACUGAGCAUGGGGAAUAGUAGUGUAAAGGGUCGAAAAAUCAAAAGUCUUUAUGUUGCAGCAAAAUUGCAAAGAUUGUGAUCGAAGAUUAAGCAGUAGAUCUUUCGAAUAUUUGAAAAUUCACAUCUGAUAGAAUAUAUCUCAUCACAAUAUUUUUGAAGCCCAUCUUUAACUGUAGAAAGAAUAGUAGUCAGUAUUUUAGAAAGAGGUUUAGUCGAACAUUUUGAUGAUCCAGCUAUGUAUCGUUCUUUAUAUGGAGUUUUGUGUAGACAUCCAUCAAAGUCACAAUUUAUAAAAGUAAACUAUUAUAUGUCAAGGUACGGUCUUCAACACGGAGCCUUAGCUCACACCGAAUAGCAAGCUAUAAAGGGGCCCAAAAAAUUACUAGUGUAAACCAUUCAAACUGGAAAACCAACAGUCUAGUCUAUAUAUAUAUAAAAACGAGAGAAAAGUGAAACGCUUAUGAACCACAUCAACAAAAAUCAAUUACUGUGAAAAUCAGAACAUAAACCUACUUACUGCUUGAAGUAUACAACGAAUUAUCAGAGUCGACAAAUGUGAUAACUGUUUUCGAUAGAUGUGUACAGACAUCCCUCUGAUUUCAAAUGUCUGGUUUUGAGCGUUCCUGAUGAAGGUAAAUCCAGUAAAAGCGCCUUGUUCGCAUGAAAUUAUUAAACGUGCUGUUUUUAAUUUUUUACAUUACUGGGUCGAUACCUCUGCUGGUGGACUAUCAGUCACCGAGGGUAUUAUCAGCUCAGUAGUCAGUACUUCGGUACCGACAUGAUUUAUAACAAACCUUUCUAAACUUGUCUGAUUAUAAAUUUUAAAGAAACUAAGGUUUCAACUCCCUCGGGCAAAGUUGACCUUAUAUGAAUUUGGCUAUUGUUUUAGGUAUUUUUGUCAUAUAGCUAUUCAACUGUUUCGGUACUUAUACAUCCCUCGGAUUUCAAAUGUUUGGCUUUGGGCGUUCCUGAUGAAGGUAAAUCCAGAAAAGCGCUUCGUACGCAUGAAAUUAUUAAACGUUUUGUUUUCAAUUCUUUAACAAAUGACUAACCAAUUUUCAAUUUUUUCCAAGUAACUCGCAUUUUAAAUUUAUGAUUUUUCAUGCGUAUUAAGGUAGCACAAUACAAAGAUUUGUUCACUCCCAAUCAGACAACUUUAAACUGAUGUAAUUCAUUUCAGCCUUCUUUAUAUUUUAGAAAUGAGGUACCAAAAGAAAGAAGAAAGAUUAAUCUUUCAAAUUGUGAUAAUUUCAUUAUGACAUAAUUAUUACAUAAUUAAUUAUUAUGUAAUUAGUUGCUAUAUUGUGAUGUCCACACUUGAAUGAAUUUAGCGUCUUUGUUCUUCAUAGCAUCCCAAAAUAUUUUAUAGAUUCUUGUACAACACAGCUUGACCUCCAAAACUGUGUCUCAGAUUUCUAAAAACAUCAAUAGAACAAAUUUUAUACCCAAUUGAAUUUAGUGGUCUCUUAUGAAUUGAUGUUGCAAACUUCAUUGAAGAUUUAUGAGAGAAUGAAAUACAAUAGGAAAAAUCUGAGACACAGUUUUUGAGGUCAAACUGUGUUGUGCAAGAAUCUAUAGAGUAUUUUGGGAUGCUAUGAAUAACAAAGAAGCUAAAUUCAUUCAAGUAUGGACAUCACAAUAUGGCAACUUAUUACAUAACAAUUAAUUAUGUAAUAAUUAUGUCAUAAUGAAAUAAUCACAAUUUGAAAGAUUAAUCCUUCUUCUUUCUUUUGGUACCUCAUUUAUAAAAUUUAAAGAAAGAUGAGUGGAAUUACAUCAGUUUAAAGAUGUCUGAUUGGGGAUGAAAAAUCUUUGUAUUGUGCUACCUUAAGUUCGAUACAUUUAAUAUAACUUGAUAUUAUAAAAUAGUGGACCAGGAUCGACGUAAUCAUUCGUAGCACAUGAAAUAUCACACUGAAUUAAAAUGAUCGUGUUUCUCAGUCUAUUGUUUCUUGUGUUAAGUUGCAUAAACUGUUGUUUGUCUUUUUGUUUAGCAAGAACACUAGCAAUGAUAUUUUGAAACUUUAUCUUUAAGUUCCGUCUCCUGUCGAAGCGUGUUCUGUCAUAAUUUUUCUAACUUCUUUUGUUUUUGGUUUUGACUCGUUAGAAAAAUGUAAACAUUACUAUUUUGAAUUUAAAAGUAGGUGUUCUAUAACACAACUUCGUUAACUGACACUUUGAUGUUUAUAGAAUUAACUCAAACACAAGAAUCCAUUUCUUGUAUUCUAGAUAUACGCUUACAGAUUAUUGCUAUAUAUAUAUAUUGUUAUCAUGUUGCUGACAUGAUCGAAACCAGUUUAUUUAAAAAGUUCAUCAUAAAGAGGAUGCAAAUGGUGUUCAAGGAUGCAAUCCAUGCACGCUCAUAACGUAUGCAAUGUAUUGACCUUUUUCUCCAUUAGAAUGUAGUCCUAGAAACGUCAAUGAGACGGCAUUUAUAUUUUCCUUUACAACAAAAAUUAUACAUAAUAGUACAAAACUUUAAUCUAGGACCCUCCAAUGUUCAAUUCGAAGAAACAGUGCAUUGCAUGAAAAAAAAAUUCGACGUAAUGAAUUAAUAAAAUGUAUAGUAUAUUUGAGUUGUAAUAGGUCAGGAUGAUCAAAACAAUGAACAAGCAUCAAACUACAUCAUUAUUGAUAUGGGUAUUUAUUGUGUUUCUCUUUUUUCAUAUUGUUAUGAAUCUUCCUUUAUGAAAACUCUUUUAGAAUAAUAUGUGCAAUAUGCAGUAUGCCAGUAUACAAGAUGAACAGUACUGAUGAUUCCAGUAUAGAUAACAUUUCACAAUCAAGUGAUCAAUAAAUUGUAUGGAUACUUUUGUCGCUGCAAGUAGUAAAAGCCGUUUGAAAUAUAUAUUUCUGGAAGUGUAAGGGAGAAACUGAGCCAGUUUAGGAUAAAAUUGAAAUGCAGUCGCUAUCUGCUCAGUUCAACCUACUAUUAGCAUUUGAUUGCUUGAAGCUAGCCUAUAAGGUCUCAUUUCCUCAACACUAUGUAAAUAAAUGAUUUGGCAAACUGAAUUAGUAAUUGUUUCAUUCAUAAUCCUAUAUGAGUACCACUAUUGUUUUUGAUAGAUAAAUAACUUAAAGAAAUGAAAACAGUUGACGUUACUUUUUGUGGAUUUGUCUUUUUUAUUUGCUUGUAACUUUUUUAUUAUCUUUCAUUCAUUGUUAUGUGUAGAUUGUCAGUUUGUGGAUACAAACAUGCAAAGUUUAUUGUCGGGAAUCUUUAACGUAAGGGUACUCAAAUUGCACCCAUUUGACCUUAAUUUUUACUU
RNAcentral lists this long non-coding RNA (6138 nucleotides) under Mytilus galloprovincialis (Mediterranean mussel). Lineage: Eukaryota; Metazoa; Mollusca; Bivalvia; Mytilida; Mytilidae. The record is from RNAcentral.